This 1661-nucleotide small RNA is filed under the name Pongo abelii (Sumatran orangutan). Its description in RNAcentral is "processed transcript". Lineage: Eukaryota; Metazoa; Chordata; Mammalia; Primates; Hominidae. The record is from RNAcentral.
GUUCAUCGCCUGGGCUCCAAGACAGCGAGCCAUGUUCCUUCUUCUGGUGCUUCUCACUGGACUUGGUGGGAUGCAUGCAGACCUCAAUCCUCAUAAAAUCUUCCUGCAGACCACAAUUCCAGAGAAGAUUUCAUCAUCGGAUGCAAACACAGAUCCAGAACAUAAUAUCAAUUUUAUCUUCAGCUUCUGUUAUUAAUUCUUAUGACAAAAAUGACAUCUGUCAUUCCAAACCUCUGCUAGUUCAGAUGGAUUGCAAUUAUAAUGGAUAUGUUGCGGGUAUUCCAAAUUCUCUUGUGACUCUCAGCAUAUGUUCAGGACUCAGGGGAACAAUGCAGCUGAAAAACAUCUCAUAUGCAAUUGAACCAAUGGAGGCUGUAUCAGGAUUUAUACACAAGAUUUAUGAAGAAAAAUAUGCUGACACUAAUAUUCUCUUAGAAGACAAUGACACUUAUACUUGGUUUAAUUCAGAGUAUCAAGUCAGAAAAAGUUCAGAAAAAACUGACUUUAUUAAGUUAUUCCCUCGAUAUAUUGAAAUGCAUAUUGUUGUGGACAAAAAUUUGUUCAAACCGGUUAAUACGAUUUGUAGGAAAUCAGCUGAUAAAGAAUGUGAUUUCACUGAAUAUUGCAAUGGGGACCUUCCAUACUGUUUGCCUGACACUUAUGUACGUGAUGGAGAAUAUUGUGAUUCAGGUGGAGCCUUCUGUUUUCAAGGAAAGUGUCGGACUUUUGACAAACAAUGUGAUGAUUUAAUCGGAAGAGGUUCAAGAGGUGCUCCGAUUUUCUGUUAUGAUGAAAUUAAUACCAGAGGAGACAAUUUUGGAAACUGUGGCACUGCAUAUUGUCUUUUUCAACAUAUUCUAUGUGGAAAAUUAGUCUGUACAUGGGAACACAGAGACUUAAUAUCACGUCCAAAUUUAUCUGUGAUUUAUGCACAUGUACGAGACCAAACAUGUGUGUCUACAUACCUACCCAGGAAGACGCCACCUCCAGUAAAUAUACCUAUUGCAAUCACAUCAUAUUAUGCAGGUGAAGACAGAGAUGAAACAUUUGUACAAGAUGGUUCCAUGUGUGGUCCUGAUAUGUAUUGUUUCAAAAUGCGUUGUAAAGAUGUUAGAUUCCUGAUGAAUUUAAGAUUGUGUGAUGCUUCUAAUCAUUGUGGUGGUCAUGGAGUUUGCAACAAUUUUAACCAUUGCCAUUGUGAAAAGGGAUAUAAUCCUCCUUACUGCCAACCAAAGCAAGGAGCAUUUGGAAGUACUGAUGAUGGACACUUAGUACCACCAACUGAGAAAAGUUACAUGGAGGAGGGAAGACAGGCCACUUUCCAAAAACAACGGUUUCAAUUCAUUUUCUACAUUUCUCUACCUGUGCUUCUUAUUACUACUGCCAUUUUAAUAAAACGGAAAAAAUUGAGAGAGCUAUGCUAUAGAGGGGAAACUGAAAGUGAGAGCUCUGUGUCAGAAGAAAGCAGCAGUAACAGCAAGUCAUCCCUCAGUGAAAGCACCGGUCUCUAACAACCUUGAAUGCUAAUGCUUGGAGAGAGGAGAGUAACAAAUACAUUAUCAGAAACUGGCCCAAACCAAGGAGGAACAAAACACAAUUUCUCUCUCAUUGCUCUUGUCACUGCUGAGGGUUUUAAACCAUGAAAUAAAUCAUCGCCUGAA